GAUGAACGCUGGCGGCGUGCCUAAUACAUGCAAGUCGAGCGAACGGACGAGAAGCUUGCUUCUCUGAUGUUAGCGGCGGACGGGUGAGUAACACGUGGAUAACCUACCUAUAAGACUGGGAUAACUUCGGGAAACCGGAGCUAAUACCGGAUAAUAUUUUGAACCGCAUGGUUCAAAAGUGAAAGACGGUCUUGCUGUCACUUAUAGAUGGAUCCGCGCUGCAUUAGCUAGUUGGUAAGGUAACGGCUUACCAAGGCAACGAUGCAUAGCCGUCCUGAGAGGGUGAUCGGCCACACUGGAACUGAGACACGGUCCAGACUCCUACGGGAGGCAGCAGUAGGGAAUCUUCCGCAAUGGGCGAAAGCCUGACGGAGCAACGCCGCGUGAGUGAUGAAGGUCUUCGGAUCGUAAAACUCUGUUAUUAGGGAGGAACAUAUGUGUAAGUAACUGUGCACAUCUUGACGGUACCUAAUCAGAAAGCCACGGCUAACUACGUG
This 497-nucleotide ribosomal RNA is filed under the name uncultured bacterium. RNAcentral's name for it is "partial 16S ribosomal RNA". It matches the Rfam family "Bacterial small subunit ribosomal RNA", at positions 28 to 507 of the family's 1533-position model. The record is from RNAcentral.